UACGUAGGGUGCGAGCGUUAAUCGGAAUUACUGGGCGUAAAGCGCGUGUAGGCGGCCCUGCAAGUCGGAUGUGAAAUCCCACGGCUCAACCGUGGAAGUGCAUUCGAAACUGCAGGGCUAGAGUCCUGGAGAGGAAGGUGGAAUGCUUGGUGUAGAGGUGAAAUUCGUAGAUAUCAAGCGGAACACCGGUGGCGAAGGCGGCCUUCUGGACAGUG
RNAcentral lists this ribosomal RNA (215 nucleotides) under uncultured prokaryote. Its description in RNAcentral is "partial 16S ribosomal RNA". It matches the Rfam family "Bacterial small subunit ribosomal RNA", at positions 524 to 738 of the family's 1533-position model. The record is from RNAcentral.